AGCCAAUGGCGGCAGCCAUACACAUGCAAGUCGAGCGGAACGAGUUAUCUGAACCUUCGGGGAACGAUAACGGCGUCGAGCGGCGGACGGGUGAGUAAUGCCUAGGAAAUUGCCCUGAUGUGGGGGAUAACCAUUGGAAACGAUGGCUAAUACCGCAUGAUGCCUACGGGCCAAAGAGGGGGACCUUCGGGCCUCUCGCGUCAGGAUAUGCCUAGGUGGGAUUAGCUAGUUGGUGAGGUAAGGGCUCACCAAGGCGACGAUCCCUAGCUGGUCUGAGAGGAUGAUCAGCCACACUGGAACUGAGACACGGUCCAGACUCCUACGGGAGGCAGCAGUGGGGAAUAUUGCACAAUGGGCGCAAGCCUGAUGCAGCCAUGCCGCGUGUGUGAAGAAGGCCUUCGGGUUGUAAAGCACUUUCAGUCGUGAGGAAGGCGUUGUCGUUAAUAGCGGCAUCGUUUGACGUUAGCGACAGAAGAAGCACCGGCUAACUCCGUGCCAGCAGCCGCGGUAAUACGGAGGGUGCGAGCGUUAAUCGGAAUUACUGGGCGUAAAGCGCAUGCAGGUGGUUUGUUAAGUCAGAUGUGAAAGCCCGGGGCUCAACCUCGGAAUAGCAUUUGAAACUGGCAGACUAGAGUACUGUAGAGGGGGGUAGAAUUUCAGGUGUAGCGGUGAAAUGCGUAGAGAUCUGAAGGAAUACCGGUGGCGAAGGCGGCCCCCUGGACAGAUACUGACACUCAGAUGCGAAAGCGUGGGGAGCAAACAGGAUUAGAUACCCUGGUAGUCCACGCCGUAAACGAUGUCUACUUGGAGGUUGUGGCCUUGAGCCGUGGCUUUCGGAGCUAACGCGUUAAGUAGACCGCCUGGGGAGUACGGUCGCAGAUUAAAACUCAAUGAAUUGACGGGGGCCCGCACAAGCGGUGGAGCAUGUGGUUUAAUUCAAUGCAACGCGAGAACCUUAACUUACUCUGACAUCAAGAGAACUUUCCAGAGAUGGAUUGUGGCUUUCGGGAACUCUGAGACAGGUGCUGCAUGGGCUGUUCGUCACCUCGUGUGUGAAAUGUUGAGUAAAGUCCGGCAACCGACGCACCCUAUCGUGGUUGCAGACGAGUCAUGUCGGGACUCAAGCAGACUGCGGUGAUAACCGAAGAAGUGGACCAGUUCAGUCGUCAUGUCCUUACAGUAGCUACACGUGCGUACAUGCGCUACUGAAGUCGCCACACUUCGAGAAUGACGCAAU
Molecule: ribosomal RNA, 1237 nt
Filed under: Vibrio diabolicus
Lineage: Bacteria; Pseudomonadati; Pseudomonadota; Gammaproteobacteria; Vibrionales; Vibrionaceae
Description: bacterial SSU rRNA
Rfam family: Bacterial small subunit ribosomal RNA
Source: RNAcentral